This 847-nucleotide ribosomal RNA is filed under the name uncultured Actinomycetes bacterium. RNAcentral's name for it is "bacterial SSU rRNA". It matches the Rfam family "Bacterial small subunit ribosomal RNA", at positions 64 to 918 of the family's 1533-position model. Lineage: Bacteria; Bacillati; Actinomycetota; Actinomycetes. The record is from RNAcentral.
GAGAGAGCGGUAAGGCCCUUUCGGGGGUACACGAGCGGCGAACGGGUGAGUAACACGUGGGUGACCUGCCUUUAGCUCUGGGAUAAGCCUGGGAAACUGGGUCUAAUACCGGAUAUGACUCCAUAGUGCAUGCUUGCGGGGUGGAAAGCCUUGUGCGGCUAGGGAUGGGCCCGCGGCCUAUCAGCUUGUUGGUGGGGUGAUGGCCUACCAAGGCGACGACGGGUAGCCGGCCUGAGAGGGCGACCGGCCACACUGGGACUGAGACACGGCCCAGACUCCUACGGGAGGCAGCAGUGGGGAAUCUUGCGCAAUGGGCGAAAGCCUGACGCAGCGACGCCGCGUGAGGGAUGACGGCCUUCGGGUUGUAAACCUCUUUCAGCCCUGACGAAGCGAGAGUGACGGUAGGGGCAGAAGAAGCACCGGCCAACUACGUGCCAGCAGCCGCGGUAAUACGUAGGGUGCAAGCGUUGUCCGGAAUUAUUGGGCGUAAAGAGCUCGUAGGCGGUCUGUCGCGUCGGCUGUGAAAACUCGGGGCUCAACCCCGAGCUUGCAGUCGAUACGGGCAGGCUGGAGUUCGGCAGGGGAGACUGGAAUUCCUGGUGUAGCGGUGAAAUGCGCAGAUAUCAGGAGGAACACCGGUGGCGGAGGCGGGUCUCUGGGCCGAUACUGACGCUGAGGAGCGAAGGCGUGGGGAGCGAACAGGAUUAGAUACCCUGGUAGUCCACGCCGUAAACGUUGGGCGCUAGGUGUGGGAUCCCUUCCACGGGUUCCGUGCCGCAGCUAACGCAUUAAGCGCCCCGCCUGGGGAGUACGGCCGCAAGGCUAAAACUCAAAUGAAUUGACGGGG